Molecule: long non-coding RNA, 615 nt
Organism: Mytilus trossulus (common blue mussel)
Lineage: Eukaryota; Metazoa; Mollusca; Bivalvia; Mytilida; Mytilidae
Exons: 3
Source: RefSeq, a predicted model, not a curated record
AUUUUUUGUUUUUUAAGGUACUGUUUCGGAUUCUCGCUCCUUCUCCGACUUAGUACUUGCAUUAGUAUAUUUGAAUAAUUAUGUCCCUUGACGACAAAAAAAGCGGAUUUUGUUAAUGAAUUUAUAUUGAACCAGACUAAGAUUGUACAUGAUGUAGUACCACAAGGGUUCCAGAGUUUUGUUUAUACAGGACAUUUGUACCUCAUACAAGUAUGUUGAGAGAAGUUCAGAACAAGCUAUUAUGUUUGAAGAGGAGUUGUCAACACGUCAUCAUUGAAUAAAGUCAGUUGUAUUAGAAGUGAAGCCUAAACAGAAAUGAGACAAUUAUCAAAUAAUUCAAAGACUACAUGGAUGUUAUCUGGACUAACAUUUGUAUGACCCAAAUGUGGUAUUUUUCAUAUGAAGACUUACAAGGCAAAUAAUUGGCUGUGGCAACAUGUGUAUGCAUUUAACAUGUUUAAAGACUUGAAGAACUUGUACUGCCUUCUUCAGAUUUCAGUAGAAUUUGUUUAAGACAGUAAAUUCUGAGUAUGAAUUGAAGAAUUUUUGCUCAUUUAAAUGAAUUAUGAAAAUGUUUUACAUCUUAAAUAUACAAAAACAACAUACCGGUAAAUU